CGCUCUUUGUGAAAAUUUUUAUUACAUAUAAAGAGUUUAGCCUGCCCAGUGACGUUGUUAAACGGCCGCGGUAUUUUGACCGUGCAAAGGUAGCAUAAUCAUUUGCCCUUUAAAUGGGGGCUGGUAUGAAUGGUUGGACGGGAGUAAAGCUGUCUUUUUUUUAUGUCUUGAAUUUUAUGUUUUUGUGAAGAAGCAGAAAUUUAUUCGUAGGACGAGAAGACCCUAUUGAGCUUUAGUAGAAGUAUCAGGAGAAAAAUAAAUUUUUGUAAUCUAAUAAAUAUUAAAUUUAAUAGUUGUAAUUUAAUUGCGAAAAGGGUAAUAAGAUGAUACUAAUACUUUGAUUGGGGCAAUCGUGGAGAAAAGAAAACCUUCAUUAAGAACUAAGUGGAAAUUACAAUUUCAUAAUAAAAUUAAGUGAUCCGCCGGAUAGGCGAGCAAAGGAAUAAGUUACCGUAGGGAUAACAGCGUAAUUUUUUUAGAGAGUUCAUAUUGAUAAAGAAGUUUGCGACCUCGAUGUUGGAUCGGGAUUUCCAGGAGAUGCAGCAGUUUCCGAAGGUUGGUCUGUUCGACCAUUAAAAUCCC
This 582-nucleotide ribosomal RNA is filed under the name cf. Pedicellasteridae sp. CLM-2010-2. Its description in RNAcentral is "partial 16S ribosomal RNA". It matches the Rfam family "Bacterial large subunit ribosomal RNA", at positions 1816 to 2597 of the family's 2925-position model. Lineage: Eukaryota; Metazoa; Echinodermata; Asteroidea; Forcipulatida. The record is from RNAcentral.